RNAcentral lists this ribosomal RNA (309 nucleotides) under Triticum aestivum (bread wheat). RNAcentral's name for it is "partial small subunit ribosomal RNA". Lineage: Eukaryota; Viridiplantae; Streptophyta; Magnoliopsida; Poales; Poaceae. The record is from RNAcentral.
GGAGGCGGCGAGUUAGUAGCAGUAGGUGGCAAAGUGGCUUUGUUACCUAUUCCAUUAGGAACCGCAGAUUUUUUAGUCCGUCACAUUCAUGCAUUUACCAUACAUGUGACUGUAUUAAUACGUUUGAAAGGUGUUUUAUUUGCUCAGAGUUCCCGUUUGAUACCCGAUAAAACAAAUCUAGGUUUUCGCUUUCCUUGCGAUGGGCCUGGCCGAGGACGAACAUGUCAAGUAUCCGUCUGGGAUCAUGUUUUCUUAGGUUUAUUCUGGAUGUACAAUGCAAUUCCGGAAGUCAUUUUCCAUUUCAGUUGA